RNAcentral lists this ribosomal RNA (253 nucleotides) under uncultured bacterium. RNAcentral describes it as "partial 16S ribosomal RNA". It matches the Rfam family "Bacterial small subunit ribosomal RNA", at positions 524 to 776 of the family's 1533-position model. The record is from RNAcentral.
UACGGAGGGUGCAAGCGUUAAUCGGAAUUACUGGGCGUAAAGGGUGCGCAGGCGGUUGAGUAAGACAGAUGUGAAAUCCCCGAGCUUAACUCGGGAAUGGCAUAUGUGACUGCUCGACUAGAGUGUGUCAGAGGGAGGUGGAAUUCCACGUGUAGCAGUGAAAUGCGUAGAUAUGUGGAAGAACACCGAUGGCGAAGGCAGCCUCCUGGGACAUAACUGACGCUCAGGCACGAAGGCCAGGGGAGCGAAAGGG